UGCUCGGUCGCUCGCGCCACUCGGGGUUGACAGACUUGGCUGGAAGGGAAAGGCGCGCCUUCAAUCUCUGGACCUAGGUGGGUUUUUGUUUUCUGAAGGGUGGGGGGUGUCUCCCCCAUUAUUAUUUUUGGAGCAUCCUGGAGUUGGAACUGCCUAUUAUUCAUCGUCAAGAAGUGUUCCAGUAAGAACGUCUAUCAGGUUAAUCUGUAAGCAUUAUCAAAAUGACCAUCACAACAAUAAUCAAAACAGUGCCCACACACCACUCUAGUGCCUUCUGGCUGAACAGGAAUUGCAGGCUGUGCUGGCUGCUCCUCUGGAAUCAACAUAACUGGACCAAGAUUAAUGAUUCGCCUACUGUAUGGAGAAAAGUAAACCCAUCAUGUCAUUGUAUACAGCACAGAAAAAAGGGGCUACAAGUGAAUUGUGUGUUCCUGGAGCUCCAACCUGACCUGCAAAGUCCAUCCAGACCCCGCAGAUAAUCAUGGACACAAGAGCAAAGCCUGUUUGGUCCUUUACCUUCUGGAGAAUUCGCUUGCCAACUUCAAAUGCAUUUGUGAAGAUUUGUCUACGGUGUAAAUCACAAGGAACAGAAAGCGGAGCAAUUGAUUAUAAUACAGCACCUUGCUAGGAAAAGUCAGACCAACCGUUCAGGAAGAUGCACAGGUCAACUAUAAGCCCUCUAUGCCAAUUCAAAGUUCUGUAUAGUGUCAGGUACACUGCCAAUGCUUAAUAAUUAUACGGACUACAUAUUUACCACAGAUUAAGGUCUAAAAUGAGGAACACCAUCAAUAAGCACAACACAAGGGCUUUCGGAAAGGAGAUGUUCUCACAAUGAACAGCUUUGAUGAGUCUUUGGCAGCUUCUGCUGAAGGUAUCAUGGGAUGUUAUAACUGCUUCUCCAGCAACUGACAUGAUAUCCACAUGAAUCGAACUAUAACUUAACUGGUAGCAUCCAACCCGAGAACAGAAAACUCAAGUUAUUUUCAUACAUCACUUGAAAGAUGCACUCUAGUUCUCCCCGUACAGAUUGGAGCUAAUUGUACCAGCAGAUAAAGAUAGGGAAACUUAACCUCUGUGCCCUCCUACCAACGUGUCACAGAUAGCCUCAAGCACAACAAAGUUUUGUGGCACCUUAAAAGACUAACAUGUUGACAUGGCAUAAGCUUUUGUGAGCUAUAGUUUACUUCAUCAGUCAAGCUUGCAAAAAUAUA
This is a long non-coding RNA of Podarcis muralis (Common wall lizard), 1211 nucleotides long. RefSeq lists it as uncharacterized. Lineage: Eukaryota; Metazoa; Chordata; Lepidosauria; Squamata; Lacertidae. The record is from RefSeq and is a predicted model, not a curated record.